UCUGCAUUCUGUCUAAAUUCUGUCGAUUGCUCUUCACCUUACAUUGCCACAUCUCUAUCCCUUUGAGAAGCUAGCAACUGUAGAGUGCAUUGGUUCUCAAUUGAUGAUGAAGUGCACAAAGGAUGCUUCUGCUAACUUUUCACUGUCCAUUGGAUAAUGAAGCAUAUUGAUAGGUUCAACACUGGAAUUACCCAUUGCCUUCAAUUGACAAGGUAUCACCAGGACGAAUUUAUUCUCUUUUAAAGUAAUGAAUUGGAGUGCUUGCAAGACAUUGGCUUCUUUUGAAUUUUAGAAAGGUGUAACAACAUCUUCUACCUUCACCUCCAUUAUUCUUAUGACGAUCUGUGCAUCAGCAUUUCAAAAAGAAAUAAUAUGUUUUUCUAUCUCUAAAUUCUAGUUUAAAAAACUUUAAUCUCUCGCCAGUUUCAGCCUCUUGCUGCUCUUGAACAUCCAGAGAUUUUAAAAAAGAUUCUACAGAAAAUUUGAUUUUUCAGAAACAUAUUUCCAAUAUCUCACGUUACUUGUAUUAGUACUUGAGAGCAAUUUGCGAAUUUUUGUUUUAUUUUAUUUCUUUUUAAUUGUGUACAGGAAGGAGCAAUUUCGAAGUUGAAGCUUCCUAAUAAAGAUUAUAAAUCUUCAUUAUGGUUCCUUUUUCCAGUAUGACAAAGAUGAAACAGAUCAUCAGCUGCUUCUACAAGAUAUAUUUCUCUCUGUCCAAUAAGUAAAUCAACCGCCUACUUUGUUUGAGUUCCACUGCUGGAAGGAUUUUGCAUUCAAUACAUUUGGAAUCAAUUUUGCAUCUUCAGAAGCAGUAAGCAUUUGCAAUCUUUUUUGGACCAAUAGAUGCUACACAAUAUGCAAGUCAUAAGAUGAGGACCCAAUUUUAAGCAAGUUUUGAGAUCAAAGCAAUCAAUCCCCAAGGUCUCACUGUGAUUUUUGAAAGGUAUAAAAACAUUUUUCUAAUUUGGUCUCUCCUGCAUUUUUUAUAAGUUGAUAUCAUUGCCAUAUAAUGGAGCGCUUUUGAGAAUAGAGGACGACAUGAAUUCCCUGGUUCUUCUUUCUGAAUAAGAUGGAUGCCAAAUGUCUUAGAGAAGGAGCAGUGGGGACAGUGGAUGCCAUGAAUACCCCAGUUCUUCUUUCAGAAUAGGCAGCUUUUGACUCAGCUGUGAAGGAAUGGUCUGCUGUCGUGACAAAAAGGCUUCAGAAUAGGCAAUGGUAAAUAUCACAUGACCUUGCGAAUGGUGGUUUAGCUAGCGAAGAACUAAAUGGAUCAGACGGUUAAUUACAUGUAUUAAUUAUUAAUACAUGUAAUUUCUUUGAAAAGUGGAUUAGUUGUAAAUACUGCAGAGAGCUAAAGACCAACAUUUUAAUUCAGCAACUUGUUCAUUGGCUAGUGAACCAGCCCGCCACCGACCAAAUCCAUAUUCUUCAGCCAAGAAUCUAGCCAAUCCUAGCUAGUCACCAAACCCACCUCAAAUCGUCCUGAUGAAGUUUUUCUAGGCAGCGUAGAAGUGAGAAACAAUUGAACUGAGAGUAGGGAAUUGCGGCUGCCAAGCAUACCUCUGGUUUCUCCGACAACCAGCCAGCCACUUCUUUGCCUCCUUAGACGCUGAAUAAACCUCUCCUAGCUGCAUUUUCGCUGACCAAGAGGGAAGAAAAUCGAAGCUUUGAAGGAUUUUUUUGAGGGCUUCAAUUUCCGCUGUGCAUGGUGGCUGCCAUUGUAGUCCCCAGCAGCUCAGCUACCUAUAGAAUUUUUAAUUCUAAAAUGGUGAUUUAUGAAUCUUUGUUGUGUGCAUAUAAAUUGAGUUGUGGGUUUGAAUGAUAUGAGUUAAAUUGUGAAUAUAAUUCAGCACAUUAACGCUCUGCAAAGCCUUGAAAUCCGUUGGUGUCGUAAUUUGUUGUCUUUGCCACACUGCAAUCUUUAAGAGUCUUUGAUUUUGAUUCACUUUCGGAAAGAUGCAAACAAAACACUGCUUAGUAUCGGACCGAAUUUGC
This 1995-nucleotide unclassified non-coding RNA is filed under the name Hevea brasiliensis (rubber tree). Lineage: Eukaryota; Viridiplantae; Streptophyta; Magnoliopsida; Malpighiales; Euphorbiaceae. The record is from RNAcentral.